AGAGUUUGAUCCUGGCUCAGGGUUAACGCUGGCGGCGUGCCUAACACAUGCAAGUCGAACGGUUCUAAGCGCGAGCUUAGGAUAGUGGCGAACGGGUGAGUAAAAGGUAGGAAUCUACCCCUUGGACGGAGAUAGCUACUGGAAACGGUAGGUAAACUUCGAUAAGCCCGAGAGGGGAAAGUGGUGAGACAGCCGAGGGAUGAGCCUACUCUCCAUCAGGUAGUUGGUGAGAUAAAAGCUUACCAAGCCGAUGACGGAUAACCGGUGUGAGAGCAUGAACGGUCACAAGGGCACUGAGAGACGGGCCCUACUCCUACGGGAGGCAGCAGUGGGGAAUCUUGGACAAUGGGCGAAAGCCUGAUCCAGCGACGCCGCGUGGAGGAAGAAGUCCUUCGGGAUGUAAACUUCUGAACUAGCCGAAUAAAAGGCCUGUGGACACACAGGAGAAGAAAGUAGGCUAGGAAAAGUCCCGGCUAACUACGUGCCAGCAGCCGCGGUAAGACGUAGGGGGCAAGCGUUACCCGGAAUUACUGGGCGUAAAGGGGGCGUAGGCGGUAAAAGAAGUCAUCUGUGAAAACCUAUUGCUCAACGAUAGGCUAGCGGAUGAAACUGAAUUACUUGAGGGCACCAGAGGUAGACGGAAUUACCCGAGUAGGGGUGAAAUCCGCAGAUACGGGUAGGAACGCCGGUGGAGAAGUCGGUCUACUGGGGUGCACCAGACGCUGAGGCCCGAAAGCUAGGGGAGCAAACCGGAUUAGAUACCCGGGUAGUCCUAGCCGUAAACGAUGCUCACUAGGUGUAGGGAGUGAUAAACCCUCUGUGCUGAAGCGAACGCGCUAAGUGAGCCGCCUGGGGAGUACGUCCGCAAGGAUGAAACUCAAAGGAAUUGACGGGGGUCCGCACAAGCGGUGGAGCAUGUGGUUUAAUUCGAUGGUAACCGAAGAACCUUACCAGGGAUUGACAUGUAACUGAAGGUAGAGAAAUCUACUGGCCUGCUGCAAAGCGGGAGGUUACACAGGUGGUGCACGGCCGUCGUCAGCUCGUGCCGUGAGGUGUUGGGUUAAGUCCCGCAACGAGCGCAACCC
Molecule: ribosomal RNA, 1085 nt
Filed under: uncultured bacterium
Lineage: Bacteria
Description: bacterial SSU rRNA
Rfam family: Bacterial small subunit ribosomal RNA
Source: RNAcentral